RNAcentral lists this small RNA (582 nucleotides) under Pongo abelii (Sumatran orangutan). Its description in RNAcentral is "retained intron". The record is from RNAcentral. Lineage: Eukaryota; Metazoa; Chordata; Mammalia; Primates; Hominidae.
AUCAGUAUAAGAAGAAUUUCCUCUGGGUAGUGGCUGCUACUUGUUGUGAGUCCGGGGGAAAACACUAUUGGAGGUGACAAGAGUUCAAACUGCAAUGAUGUGCCACACUCACCCAGCUGCAUCUGAACUGAAGUGGGGCCCCAGCCAAGUCUUGCCUGAGAUCAGCAGACCCUCGAUGACCCACAAAAAUUAUCUGCUUAGGACACAGAAUUCAAUUACACCCAAACCCUGGAUGGAAUCAGAAUCAGAAUCAGCCAUGCAAUGAGGAAGAAGAAAUGUAAGUUGAGGCCUGUGAUUCCAACAGUUCUCUUUCUGGAAUGGCUACCAAGGAGAAAGGUAUGUGACUCUUCCUUUCAACUCUAAUGAUAUAAAUUUAAAUGUGAAAUUAACAAGGUACAAUCUAAUGAGUUAAGGAAACAAAACUGUUUCUGUAAGUCUACAGAUUGCUUAGCAAGAAGACCCUUUUCUCCUCUCCCCACUCCCCACCCCUACAACCCCUUCAGAAGUGUUCAUUAAACAGCCAUGAUACAGAAACAGAAAUAAGAAAACAAACAAACAAACAAACAAAACAACCACCAGGCA